UACGGAAGGCAGCAGUGGGGAAUAUUGCACAAUGGGCGCAAGCCUGAUGCAGCCAUGCCGCGUGUAUGAAGAAGGCCUUCGGGUUGUAAAGUACUUUCAGUCGUGAGGAAGGUGUUAAGGUUAAUAACCUUAGCAAUUGACGUUAGCGACAGAAGAAGCACCGGCUAACUCCGUGCCAGCAGCCGCGGUAAUACGGAGGGUGCGAGCGUUAAUCGGAAUUACUGGGCGUAAAGGGCACGCAGGCGGUUAAUUAAGUUGGAUGUGAAAUCCCCGGGCUUAACCUGGGAAUGGCAUUCAAGACUGGCUAGCUAGAGUCUUGUAGAGGGGGUAGAAUUCCAUGUGUAGCGGUGAAAUGCGUAGAGAUGUGGAGGAAUACCGGGUGGCGAAGGCGGCCCCUGGGACAAAGACUGACGCUCAUGUGCGAAAGCGUGGGGAGCGAAACAGGGAUUAGAUACC
RNAcentral lists this ribosomal RNA (456 nucleotides) under uncultured bacterium. Its description in RNAcentral is "bacterial SSU rRNA". It matches the Rfam family "Bacterial small subunit ribosomal RNA", at positions 340 to 786 of the family's 1533-position model. The record is from RNAcentral.